CGAAUCUUAUCAUCUUCACUUAACCUCUAAUGAUAGGUGUAAAGUCUUGUCCGCGUCCUCCCUAUGGUGUACUAGUGUCAAAUAAAUGCAUAAGCUUGUUUCGAUCCCUCAAAAGUUACCUCUCCAAGCAGAAAGAUCGUCUAAUUCCAAAAGUGGCUCGCAAAAAAGUGGUGGUUUAAUUAGGCAGCCCAUCCGGUUUUAGUUGGACUUGGAGAGCACCAGCCCGUUAUUCUUCCACUGCACAGAGCGGGAGCUAUUCGUUGCUCUGUGAAACCAGCCUCACGCAGUCCACCCCACUCUAAGAGCCAAGUAGCCCAUACUUUUGUUUGGACCACGUGACUCACCUCUGUGCUUGGAUAGGGCAGGCCGGAGAUUAGCUCACCAAGCCCAGCCAUCACGAACAACCCAACAUUCCCCCACUUUGAUGCCCCCACUUAGGUCAGAAGCCCACGUUACAAGGCUCGGCAAUGUCAGGUCCAUCUCAUCAAACUAAUAAACACGAAUAAGUCAUUGUUCAAAAACAAUGCGGGAGAAAUGCCUUUAUUUUAACAUUGAAUAAGUUGUUGCAAUGACAUAUAACAGUUGUAGCAGAAAGCAUAAUAUGGAUAUCAGUGAAAACUGUCGAUCUUUAUUAUAGUGGCAAAGUGAAACACGAUCAAAGUUCCGAAAUUACUUUUGUAUUUAUCCUCAAGUAUAUAUAAUUCACUUAGUAGUAGAUUUUGAAUCAUACAUCAUGAUCAAAAAUCUCAUGAUAUGUUAAUUCGAUAGCCUAGGAAGUGUAAGUAGUUAAUUUGCUACCUUCAUAAUUCGUGUAAAAAGGUUCUCAAAGGAUUUGCUUGACUAAGUGUACUCCAACUACAAUUGAGUUCAUACUUCUGGGAGUUACUUAGUGAUCAUGUGCUGCACAGCAUUAACUUAGUUCACUAGUAACACUUUGUGUAUCGGAUGAAUCAUCUUGCAUUGGUGUUGUUGGAAAUGUGAAAUUUAUGUUAAGAGAGCAUUUUCUCCCUAAAUGACCAUGGUGCAAAUAUGAAUUAAAAAAGUGGUGGUUUAAUUAGGCAGCUUAUCCGGUUUUUAUUGAACUCGAAGAGCACCAACCUGUUAUCCUUCCACUGCACAGACCGGGGACUACUCGUUGCUCUGUGAAACCAGCCUCACGCAGUCCAUCCCACUCUAAGAGCCAGGCAGCCUAUGCCUUCGUGUAGACCACACGGCUCAACUCCGCGCUUGGAUAGGGCAGGCCAGAGAUUAUAGCCCAUCAAAGCUCAGCCAUCAAGAACUACCCAACAUUCCACCACAUUGUUGCCCCCACUUGAGUCACAAGCCCACGUUACAAGGCUCGGCGAUUGUAGCUGUCUUGUUUCUCACUUAUAAAGUCCCAAAAUUCUCUAUUCAUAAAUGAUGUGGGAAGAAGAUAACUUUAUUGCAGUCUAUGUUAUUCAGAUUCUUUGAAAAUGUCAACAGAUGCGUGUCAGAUUCUCCAAAAAAUAGUGUGUUUUUGGAGUAUCCGACAGGAGUGCGGCAACAAAAGUGAAGAGACCCGCGCAACUUAGAUUUUAGUUAGCAUUUCAAACAGUUUUCUACCGGUGGAUAAAAUAAUAAAAUCAGGUCAAUCCAUGAUAUCAUUUCUGGAGGAACAUUUCUAAUGUUGGAAUUGUUUCUGUAGUGUAUGUUACUGUUAUGUUUUCAGGGUGCGGCUCUUUUCCGGACCUUGAAUGAUCGCGAGAUUUUUAAUACACUUGACUACUAAUUUGAUGAUCCAUUAGGAGUGUCAUCUUCUAACAAUCUGCUCCUGCCUAAUAAUUUAUGAGGCAGUGAGAAACUGUCUUUUUUAUUUUCAGAUAUGAUGUUGAAUUUUCACUCAAUUUUGUUGUUAAAAUUCGUAUAUAGCUCAAACUCUUCAAAAAUGUCAAUGGAUGCGUGUUAGAUUCUCCAAAAGUACUGUGCUUUUGGAGUAUCCUACGGUGGUGCGACAACUAAAGUGAAGAGUCCGUGCAACUUAGAUUUUAGUUAGGAUUUCAAACAGUUUUCUACUACAACAACAACAACAUUCUCAGUGUAUUCCCACAAAGUAGGGUCUAGGGAGGGUAAAAUUUACACAGUCCAUACCACUACCACAGAUGAAGAUGAAGUAGAUGAGUUGUUUCCGAUAGGCCCCGGAUAGCAAUAUAACAAACAAAAAACAUAAAAUAAACAACAAAACGGGAUAACACUGCUAGAUAAUAAAGAAACAAGACACCAACAAAAUAAUACCGUAAACUAUUUAUUCGAGAUCACAAAUAUCAUCAAAUACUAAAAACAAGAAACUACAGGCACAGAUACAAACAAUUUUCUAUCCAGUGGAUAAAAUAAUAAAAUCAAGUCAAUCCAUGAUAUCAUUUCUGGGGGAACAUUCCUAAUGUUGGAAUUGUUUAUGUAGUGUAUGUUUUACUGUUAUGUUCUCAGGGUGCGGCUCUUUUUCGGACCUUGAGUGAACGCGAGAUGCGUAGUACACCUGAUUGCUUAUUUGAUGAUCCAUAAGGAGUGUCAUCUUCUAACAAUCUGCUCCUACCUAAUAAUUUAUGAGGCGGUGAGAAAUUUCUGGCUUUUUUGUUUUCAGAUAUGAUGUUUGUUGUUCGUGAAAAUUCAUAUAUAGCUGACUCCAACUAAUUUGGGGUUAAGGUGUAAUUGGAUUCAUUAUUGUUCUUAAGUGGUAUUUACAAUGUAAUGAAUUCAGCACUACAAAUCUUAAAGGUCGAACUCAUUAAAUUUAAAUCUUGAAUCUGUCUCUGAACGUAACCAUCGAUUUUAUCCUGAAUACUCCAGCAUAGCUCAUUUGGCACAUAGUUUGAACUGACUUAGAAUUGACUGUCAUAUGUCAUUCAACAUUGAACUUUCUUGUAACAAUCCAAAAAUUUUGUUAGUAUGAUUAUUCUGCAUUUUGCUUAUUCUACUUGAUGAUGAAUAAGCUGAUUAUAAACAAGUAGGUGAUGUGCGUCAGAUAAGUGAUUAGCAACAUCUUUCAUUGAUCAAAUACUCAUGAGUCAAUAGUUUCUUGGCUAAUGGCAACAGUCAACCUUCUAUACUGGUUAUGUUUAUUAAUUUACGCGCUGAGGCAAAUGUCAAGCACGAUCAAGGUUCUGAAAUAAGUAGAUUUUUGGAUCACACGUCAUGAUCAAAAUAUCUCUUAUCGUCCUCAAUUCACCUCUAAUAAUAGGUGUAAGUCUUGUCUGCGUCCUCCUUGUGGAGUAAUAGAGUCAAAUAAAUGCACAAGGUCAUUUCGAUCCCUCAAAAGUUACCUAUCCAAGCAGAAAGAUCGUCUAAUUCCAAAGGUGGCUCGAAAAAAAUGGUGGUUUAAUUAGGCAGCGGGAGCUAUUCGUUGCUCUGUGAAAACAGCCUCACGCAGUCCACCCCACUCUAAGAGCCAAGCAGCCCAUACUUUCAUUUGGAUCAUGUGACCCAACUCUAUGCUUGGAUAAGGGCAGGCCAGAGAUUAGCUCACCGAGUCCAGCCAUCAAGAACAACCCUACAUUCCCCACUUUGAUGCCCCUACUUAGGUCAGAAGCCCACGCUACAAGGCUCGGCAAUGUCAGGUCCAUCUCAUCAAACUAAUAAAAAUGAAUAAGUCAUUGUUCAAAAAUGAUGUGAGAGAAGUGCAUUUGUUUAAACAUAGAAUAAGUUGUUGCAAUGACACAUAAUACUCUCUCUGGCAGAAAGAACAAU
RNAcentral lists this long non-coding RNA (3702 nucleotides) under Capsicum annuum. RNAcentral's name for it is "long non-coding RNA (CANN_LNC016607)". Lineage: Eukaryota; Viridiplantae; Streptophyta; Magnoliopsida; Solanales; Solanaceae. The record is from RNAcentral.